RNAcentral lists this long non-coding RNA (254 nucleotides) under Manihot esculenta (cassava). Its description in RNAcentral is "long non-coding RNA (MESC_LNC011653)". The record is from RNAcentral. Lineage: Eukaryota; Viridiplantae; Streptophyta; Magnoliopsida; Malpighiales; Euphorbiaceae.
GCUGCUGCCCAGCAGUAGCUGCCCACAAUUUAAUUUUUUUUUUAAAAUAUAAUUAGUAAAAAUCAAAGUAGACACUUACUUGAUAGGCAGUGGCGGAAGUGGCGGCAGUGGCGGUAGUGGCGAGCGGCAAUGCAGUAGUGGCGAGAGGAGCGUCCAGCAGCAGCGACAGUGACGGGAUCAACGGCAGCGGCGGCGGCGGCGAUUUCGGCAAGGAGAGAGGAGAGGAGAGGAGAGGAGAGGAGAUGAAGUGGGCG